RNAcentral lists this ribosomal RNA (465 nucleotides) under uncultured Klebsiella sp. RNAcentral's name for it is "bacterial SSU rRNA". It matches the Rfam family "Bacterial small subunit ribosomal RNA", at positions 338 to 795 of the family's 1533-position model. Lineage: Bacteria; Pseudomonadati; Pseudomonadota; Gammaproteobacteria; Enterobacterales; Enterobacteriaceae. The record is from RNAcentral.
CCUACGGGUGGCUGCAGUGGGGAAUAUUGCACAAUGGGCGCAAGCCUGAUGCAGCCAUGCCGCGUGUGUGAAGAAGGCCUUCGGGUUGUAAAGCACUUUCAGCGGGGAGGAAGGCGGUGAGGUUAAUAACCUCAUCUGUUGACGUUACCCGCAGAAGAAGCACCGGCUAACUCCGUGCCAGCAGCCGCGGUAAUACGGAGGGUGCAAGCGUUAAUCGGAAUUACUGGGCGUAAAGCGCACGCAGGCGGUCUGUCAAGUCGGAUGUGACAUCCCCGGGCUCAACCUGGGAACUGCAUUCGAAAAUGGCAGGCUAGAGUCUUGUAGAGGGGGGUAGAAUUCCAGGUGUAGCGGUGAAAUGCGUAGAGAUCUGGAGGAAUACCGGUGGCGAAGGCAGCCCCCUGGACAAAGACUGACGCUCAGGUGCGAAAGCGUGGGGAGCAAACAGGAUUAGAUACCCUAGUAGUC